AUGGAGGUUUGGUUGAAAUUGGUUACGACGACGUCGAGUUGGCGGCGGAGGAAUACUCGGCAUGAAGGCCAGAAAAUGGUGUGGAACGUAGUGGUAAUAGUACGCGCCCCGCUCCGAAACAAAGAAAAAGGUGCGUGCCGCACUCACGAGGGACUGCCAGUGAGAUACUGGAGGAAGGUGGGGAUGACGUCAAGUCCGCAUGGCCCUUAUGGGCUGGGCCACACACGUGCUACAAUGGCAAUGACAAUGGGAAGCAAGGUUGUAAGGCGGAGCGAAUCCGGAAAGAUUGCCUCAGUUCGGAUUGUUCUCUGCAACUCGGGAACAUGA
RNAcentral lists this ribosomal RNA (327 nucleotides) under Triticum aestivum (bread wheat). RNAcentral's name for it is "partial small subunit ribosomal RNA". It matches the Rfam family "Bacterial small subunit ribosomal RNA", at positions 1009 to 1323 of the family's 1533-position model. The record is from RNAcentral. Lineage: Eukaryota; Viridiplantae; Streptophyta; Magnoliopsida; Poales; Poaceae.